AUUCAGAGAUCCACCUGUCUCUGCCUCCUGAGUGCUAGGAUUAAUGGGGUACACCACCACUGCCCAGCCCUACAGCUUUUUUUAAAUCAAGAAAGUUUAAAUGGGAGGAAUUAAAAGUUCAUCCUCAGCUAGAAAAAUCACAGCCCACCUGGUAAAAAGCCAUGGGUCCCUUUGGUUGGUUGAGCAAGGAAAGCCUUGCUCUGAAUGGCUUCCUAGAAAUUUCCUGAGUCCUGGUCCAAACUGAACAGUUUCUAGCUCCUUCAUUGCCCUGCCAUCAUAAAGUAAUUUAGAUUAACCAUAGACUGAGGACAUAGUAAAGGCCAUUGUGUUAAUGCCCCCACCUCAUGGCUCUGGACCUUGUACAAAGAGAGAUUUUUUUUGGCCUCCUUCUUUCCUCUGAUACUAGUGUGACUCAUGCUUUCCCCUCUUGGGGCCCUAGUGACCCAUUCUUGUGUGAUCAUUAAUGGAGGUGGGGAGACUGAAACUGCCCUCUUAGUGGAAAGGCAAGCCCCAUUCUAAGCCCUUUAUCCAGUCAAAGACUCAUUCAAAACUUUCCAGCCUCUGAGCCAGCCAGUCAGCCUGGCCACACUGCCUGAACUCUUAUUCCAUGUAAAAUGUGCCAAGUCAGGGCUCUGAGGGCGACAGAACGGAACAGUGGAAAGAGCGUGCGCGGAGGACGUUGACAGCUUAGGAGGGAAGAAAAGCCAUGUGCACAUAACUUUAGUACAAAGCAGAACAGACUGUCCCUGAAGAGAUGGGGGGGGAGCUAAGAUCACAGGUGUCAGGGACAAAUAUUUAUGUAAAUCCUCUUAAAUCUCAAGCCAUUUGAAAUAAGGAUCCAACACUAUUUGAGCUUGGGAAGGUUGAAGGAUGAUUGAAAAAACAACCCUAUUUCUUCCAGCUGAAAGUUCUACGGGAGCUUGGGAAAUAGAAUGAAGAGCCAUGCUGAGGAGGAAAUAGGGCUUCACUGCAUAGGUAGUUCUUCGGAGAUUGCUGGAACAGCAGAAGCAGAGUCAAUCCAGGUAUCCUGGGCCCUCUUAGCUCUGGACUAGAGUAUAAACACAGUGUGGGAGGAGGAAGAGUGGUAUAGGUCUUACAAAGGAGGGUAAAUGAGGCCUUGCAUGACCAAUUGCUCCCUCUCUCCGGAUGAGCUGAGGAACUCUUGAUGCCUGCCCUGGCCACAGAGACCAGACUGUAAAGUGUGUAUCUUCCUCCUCAGCUGGCUGAAGCCUGGCCCUCACCCAGCUGUCCCUUCAACCAAGCGGCUCCCUGGCUUUGAGGAGACCUACUGUUAUCUCAAGAAGGAAAGGAACUUCAAACAGGAAGUCCAACAGGUUAUCUCUCCCUUCUGCCCUGAGUGGUAGUUCAUUUAGUUGUGGUGUGAUCACUGAUAAAGGAAUAGCAGGUGGCUAUCAGGUACACUGCUAGGGAGACCCUGAUCUGACCACGCCCUCUUCCUCCCACAGCUGACCACACUUCUGGGAACCAGGACACUCUCUUACCAUUUUCUGUUCCAAGAGUCAGUGCUCUAGAUGAGAAGCAGGGCUUUGACAAAGCAGGAAACACGGUACAAGGGCACAUCCUCCCGUCCUUUUGAGGAGAGAGUUGCUGCUUUUUUGUCACCCCUCAAGUCCCACUUCUUCAGAAUGACCCUCUUGCCACUUCACAAGCCACCCACGAGGGCUUUGAAGAAGUCCACGCACACUCAUGAUCUUGUGUAGAGGGAGCACUAGGAGUAUUUGUAUACUUUAAAAAGAGAGCGGAGGUAGCAAGGUGGCACAUGAAAUGACAAAUGAGCGGCGUGGCAAGCACACCAUUUAUACACACUUAGCACUCUGAGAUACCUCAAACAGUUCAGCGGGAGCCACUGGGGACAAAAGGCAGUAGUACAGAGAGAAAAGGCUCCUUGUAACUUUGCCUGAGUUUGUUUGGGGGAAUGGAAUGAAAGAGGAUGGAGGAGCAGCUCCCACAAAAGACUAUCUGAUGACACCGUGAACACCCUAGUCCCCUCAUUUAAAGGCACCGAAGAGCUUGGUUUAAAGAUCAAGUACAUUUUCUGGGAAGAGAAACACAUUCAGCUACAGAUCAGCCACUGGCAACAGAAACUGCACUAGUUUUUCGAUUUGGUCCUGAAAGGAGCCAGGAGAACCCACUUAGAAACAAAACAGAAAUCCAACAGUAACUGGGAAACACUUGGGAGCAGGAGCACCCCCCCAUUUUUUGAACAAUGCAUGCAUCCUUCAAAUAGAUAAAUUAGCAGCUUCAGAGAUGAGAAUAGCAGAGAAAUAAGAAAAAGGCAGACAGGGUCAGCAAGGGGGUGCUCUCAUCCCGCUGGCAUUCCAGGACAUCGCGCGUGGUUAAUUUUACUCUUCUUUGUGUAAUAAUAAACCAGUAUGUUCUCAA
Non-coding RNA from Myodes glareolus (Bank vole), 2403 nucleotides. NCBI's taxonomy places the organism in Eukaryota, Metazoa, Chordata, Mammalia, Rodentia, Cricetidae. The record is from RefSeq and is a predicted model, not a curated record.